Girardinichthys multiradiatus is the source of this 2282-nucleotide long non-coding RNA. RefSeq lists it as uncharacterized. Lineage: Eukaryota; Metazoa; Chordata; Actinopteri; Cyprinodontiformes; Goodeidae. The transcript is spliced from 2 exons. The record is from RefSeq and is a predicted model, not a curated record.
GUGCGCGUCCACGGGAAAGGCGUGCGCGCACCAACCUCAGAUCGCCAGCUGAGCUUUGCGAGACACGCAGACGUCGACGUGAUCCCUCUUCAAUCGAAAAUCCAGAGUGCAGUGUGCUUUCCGUAUGGCCGCUCUCUUAAUAAGGAGUCCAAGAAUAAAAUCUUUGGGGAUCUCCGUGCUGCUCCUGCUCAUCUUCCUUCAGACCUUGCUGCUGCUCUACCCCGGUGUGUUCAUCCACUCUGAUGAAGUCCUCAUUAGCCCUGGAUUUUUCCAUAGUGGAAAAAUAGUGGGCCCUCUGUGUUUUUAUGCUACAGUCUUGCUUGUGGCCUUUGCCCUGCUGAGCAUGCUGUUAGCUGCUUAUGCCAAAGACAGAACAACACUGAAAUGCAGCAUGGUCUGCCAGGCUGCAUCAAGCCUGCUCACUCUGGGAAGCAUCGUUAUGUUUUGGAUAUGGUUUCACUUCUACUUGAGUUGGAAAGACAUAACACCUUGGUUUUAUUUGUGUGUGGGUGUGGAAAUGCAGUUGAUUAUAACAACUGUGCUUACAAGGCUUUUAGGAAAGGCGCUGACUUCUGACUGGGAAUAAAUGGCUUCAAGCUUGCGCCAGCUUCCACAGGACAAAAAGACUUCAUUACUAUUUAUGUUUAUUGUCUUUGUUCAAAUCCUAUUGCUGAUGUCAUGACAUACCUCUGAAAUUAUUUGAUUUUAAGGUCCGGUUUGGAGAGUUUUGUUUUUACUGCUGUUCCAAUGAGUUGGGUGUCUUUACCUUUGUAAAAAAUUAAGAGGAUAAGAUUGAAACUGUGACAAAAAAGCAAAGCAUUCAUGAAGAUUGUGCUGAAAAUGUUCUGAUAUCUUACACUGAACAAGAAGUCUUUGUUCCACUGCAGCCAUAACAACAUAUUUGAAGUUGUUAUGGCUGAAGCCUUAUUUGCAGCAGGCUUCUUAUAAGAAGAACCGCCUACUACCUACUUUUCAGGGCUUUCUUAGUUUCUUGUAUUGCAUCAUUAAAGAGAAAUAAAUCAUUCUCAUACAUUUGCACUGCAUGGUUGGUAAACAGAUGAAGCUUGUUGGUCUUUAUUUUCAUUUAGAGGUUAUAUUGAAGCAGGAAGUUAGAUAAAAGAGAGAAAAGUCUGGGAUUCCCCCAAAUUCAAUUUCUUUAAUGGCUGCCUAGCAUAUUAAACAUAAUGGGAAACAAAAAUUUUGCUUAUUUGUAAUGAUUAGUAUUUUACCUCAACAGUAUUUUACAACCUCUAUUAGAUGCUGGUAUUAACAUGUACCAGUGAACAAGUAAUCAAUUAAUCUCCUGAAAGUUCUUCAAAAUAAUUCAAACAUCAGCACUCCUGAGAUCCAUUUAAUUUCAGCUGCAAAUGUUUAUAAGCUUACAUGUGCAGAUUAAAGAUGCGAUAUGAGAGUAAACAUACAACAAAGUACAAAGUUCAGGAUCAUCGCAGAGAUUUUAACCCAUGGACAACUUUGACAGUGAUGCACAUUUAGACACAACUAAAGGUUUUCCCUAAAAGAUUUACUGUAUUCCAAAUAGUUGUCUAAACUGCUUAGAUUAGCUACGUGCAGCUCUGAUUUUUUUAAUGGAUUUCAGACCUGUAUUCAUCACUGUCCGCAUCAUUCAGGACGCAUGUUAACAAGCCUUGGUGAACAUGUUUCUAAAUUGCUUGAAAGCACAAAAUGUGGAGAUAUGCAUUAUCGCGUUAUUAUAGCGUUAUCACUCUGCACAUGAAUUAGGAAAUGGUUUUGAACUUGAAACUGGAAGUAAUUGAGGGUCUGAUGGCAUUUCUAGACCCAAGUCCCAACAUCAGAGGUAAAUGUAACACAGCACAGGUAGCAGCUAGCACUCAUUCCUAGUUAACUAUCAUCGUCAUUUCAUGGGAUUUCUCCUAAUUUUUUCUUUUCUUUUGAGAAUAUUCUUGCCGUCUUACCUCUCUGAGCUGCUUCACCCAUAUUCUCCUCGUCAGUGCCUCAGGUCCGUUCCAGGUUUACAGAACAAUCUCCCUUUAUCAGACAUGUCCUGUUAUUGUUCACUUUUAAAACUCUUCUAAAAACACAUCUUUAUUCCUUGGCUUUUGGCACAGCCUGAGGCUUUUUGAUUGUACUUUUGUCUUUGCCGUUUUAUUGAUUUGCCUGUUCUUACACUGUAGUUCUUUUUUCUUGUUUAAGUUGUAAAUCUUCCUUGAUUUUACAUGUACAGCACUUUGUUGCAGCUGUGGUUGUUUAAAAGUAUUUUAUAAAUAAAUAAAGUAAGUUAUCAUGUGUGUUUGAACAACUUA